CUCCAUGAACUCAGCCUCCUCCUGUUCCUGUCUUGAGCUUGCUCCUGUCCCAGGUGAGUAUGGAACUUCUGGAGGAGGUGUAGUGGGCUGGGCCUGCUGCCUCCAGGCUGGUCUGACAGCCAUUCCUGCACCAGCAGCUCCCUCCCUCCCUCAGAGCCCCAGGAGGAGCCCCCUCUGCCCCUCCCCUCCUUUUCAGGACAGUGUCAGAAUGAGGCUGGUUUCCCUGCUCUGGACCCUUCCUUUGCCGUUCCAGUAAUGCUGGACGACCCCACUCGCGUCAUGGCUCCCUUCAAUGUCUGUUGAUGCUCAGUGGCCCCUGGACCACUUUAGGCGUGGGCAGGAGAUUGCUCUGAGUUUGCACCCAAACACCAGCUGCAGCCAUUUACGUUGUGUGCAUGUGAUGACUGUCUCUGUUGAUGUGACUUGAUGGGACUAAGCUGCAACCCUGCUGCCUGCAAUGUUCUCUUUAGAGAGGCAGAGCUGAGUGGUUCUCUGCUUUAAGAGAAGACAUCCAACUGCAAAUUAUGGACAUUGGUCAUGAUUUUGCUGUCCAAUAUUUAAACCUUUUUCUACAUCUGUGCUGAAGUUUCCGUCUCUGGGGGAUAGGCAUGUGCCAACUAUUCAUUCUAGAAAUGGAAUGGAAGAGGUGCAUGACUGCCUCUGCUCUGGUGAGUUCCAGGAGACCACAGCUUCACCUAGCAAGCGGUUUUCUUCCACUGGCUCCCUCGGAACUCAGGAGGCUGCUGUGCUGUGUGAACUGGCAGAACAGAUGGAGGGAGGAUCUCGCCUUCCCAGUCACAUCAAGUGUGGUCACCUUGGCACAGAAUCCCAGGAAGAGCCUGGCGUCACCAGAUUCUGUCUCUCCUCACUGGGGCUCAAAGUGAGCUUCUAGAUCUGCAGGGGGCCAAAGGCCAGGCAUCCUGUCCAUUCUGCCCUGAUGUCUGCUGAGUCCUCUGCCUCUGACCCUGAAAACAAUCCUUUUUCUUGCAGUCACCAUAUGAAAAUCAAUAUACACAGCAAUUCAUGCAAUCAUUUGUCUGCAGUUGGACCUGCAGCUACAGAAAUUCAGAUCUAAGCCCAAAGGAGCAUCCUGUUACAGGUGAACUGCAAGAUCAACCUUCACAAGUGGGAUCUGUUUUCCUGUUCAACAGUUUUUCUGGACUUUUAUUUCAGGCAUGUGGUUGAAUAAACAUGGGAGCUAGAGAAACAUUUGGAAGCUCCCUUCUCCUGCAGGACCAUUAGAGCCACCGUAGAAUAUAACUUUGUUGCAUUCUUAGAUUACAAAGAAGAGAGGGAAGUUCCAGAAUUAUUUUUAAAUGAAACACCUGCCUUGAGACAAAGUGAAAAGUCCCAGCUCUGAUCUUCAUGGUGGAUGGAGCUUAGAACCAACUUGUUCUAUCUUUAGAUGACUUGGAAUUAUCUGGUGUUUUGGCAGUUGGACAAUUCUAGAUUUCAUGGGUCUUUUGAGGUGGAGACAGGGGUGAGAAGUAGGGUUCAGAGGGGAGAGAUUGCUGCUAUUUUAGGAACCGUUCCUUAUCCAGAAAGGAAAUGACCUGCCAUUACUAGAACAGCCUGCUCUAAGAUCACAAGGGACCACUCAGUAAGUGAAGAAGAGAAGCACCAUUUCUAGUUCAAUUUCCUGGUAUCUGGAGAAAGGGAACACUGGCCUUUCAAGAUCAUUGCCACAGGGCUGGGUUGGAUAGGGCUGACCUGAGCUGAGACUGGUCCCCACAGCCUCUCUAACUUCCCUCAGGCACAGGUCCCCCAUCUGCACCUGCCUGAGUCUCCAGACCUCCUCAGCUCAAACCCUCCUCCUUGGUCCUGGGUCCCAGGCUGCUCCUUACAACCAUCUGACAGUCCAGGCUGCUGACUGACACAGCAACACCUGCUCUUCACUGCACAGGGCAGAGCUGGGACCAUAACAGCCCACACCACAGCACUGAGCUCAGCUCCUGCAGACCACACUUUCCCAGAUGUAUGAACCCAGACUUCCCCUUAACCCUCUCCCAUCCAGAGCACUCUCUCAGGCCCUGCUCAGAUUUGCCAGAUCUCUACAGGGUCACAGCUCCCCCUUGUGGCUGCAGGGUCAGGAGUGCAAGGACUUGGUCCUGCUGCACACCAAGAGGAACAUGGUGGUAAGGGUCUUAGAAACAGAGACCACAUGGGAGGGGAGAGGGUGGUAAUCAGUCCCUGCCCUUCUCAAUCCAGAUAUAUUUCUCAAAAUGUCCCCUUUUGAAGAACCCCGUGCCCCUUGUGUGAGCAAAGCAGGCAGGGAGUUCCCCAAGGUCAGCUUCAGGGCAUCAGAUAGAAAAGGGCCACUGCAGGCUACUGGAACAGUGAUUGCAUUGUCUUUGAGGCACCUGAGCCUUAGAAGCGGCUUCCACAGGAAGAGAAGGAGCCUCCACCCCAGGAAGACACCAGUCUGACCAGGACUCCCUCUGCCUCUCAGAGGGAGGCCAAGCAUAUGGUCCAGGCCCACACCAGAAGGUGUCUUGAGGCUCUGCAGCAUCCAGGGACCCUGGCAUGAAGAAGGCAGAAGGUACUUCUUCUGGAUCCAGGGCUUGGGGAGAAGAUGGUACCCCUAACACAUAGACAUCACUUAGCAUCAGGACCCAGUAUUCCAGGAUGGGUAAACUCUACCUGCACCCAGGGCUGAUGUCUAGGGUAUGAGGAGCACGAAAAAAGAACAGUGAGCAAAUAAGUUCAGCCCCCAUGACUGGGGCAUUUCUUUCCUUGGUACUUUGAUCCUUAUUAGGGAAAAGCAGACUGUGGCCAACCUGGGCCCUGAAAUUGUUUUUUCUGGUGAUUCAGUAGACUUGUAGGUUUCUGAAGUUGAGGGCCCCUCUGACUCAGAACAACUGCACUGCCUAUCUCUGGGCCCUGACUUGAAAUCUCAGAGCAUCACAGCAGGACGGACCCUGCCUGUGUUACAGGAAAGCCCUUUCCAUCAGCUCUGAUGAGAACCCUCUGCGGGCUGCUUUUCCUACACUGGGGCACACAGCUGUCCCACCAGCUCCUUUUCCCUGGUGUCCUAUGCAAGCCUGGAGGUGGCCUGUGAAGCAUGCACAGAGGGCCACGGAGGUGCCUUUCCACACCUCAUUCAGUCACCAGCUCACAGCUGCCUCAGUGGUCCCCCUUCAAUUACAGAACAAGAUCCUCCUUGUCAUCAGGGCACUCCUACAGCAGGAGGAGACUUUUGUGGUUACAGUGUCACAGAGAUGUGUGCUGCCCUCCUGUCUCCAUGGCUAUGUGGAGGGGUUCAGGACAGGGUCCUUGUCUACUAUAGCUCUGCCCCUCAGCAAACACCUCUGUGGGUUCAUGAGACUGCGGCAGGAGGUCAGGAGAGAUGGGAAUCAUUGCUCCUCCCCUUUUCCAUAUGUGUGCAUCUCCACCAAAGAAAGACCUCUGUUAAUCUUACUUUAUUGUGCUGCUGCAGUACUACUGGCUGCUUUGUCUGACAACCAUUCCAAAUUGCCUAAAAAUCCCAUGUUCACUAUUAGUUUUAAUUAAUUUGCACAAGAAUAGAAGGCUUUGUGUCCCACCUUUCUUUUUCCAGUGUUUGCCUGGCAGCCACAAAUAUGGUUUAUGGUGCAGAAACCAGGCCUGAGCCUUCCAUUAACUCCCCCUGCCAGACACUUCUCAGCUUCUCUGAAGUCACUGAGUGAUGGAAGAACCACAGUGUCCCGUAGUGGCCAACGGGCAGGCUUCCUGGAGUAGCCCUUGGCUAAGACCAUGGAUGAAUGAUGCUGUGUUCCCCUGGUUCAGGGGUAAUGGUGGUAGAGUCGCUGGUGUUUUAGGGCACAAGAGCACCGCCAUUCUUUCUUGUCCAAAAUCAAAAACACUUGAGAGAGGAAUGCUGAGCUCAGAGAAAAUGAAGUCCAAACAUCUGCCUUGGUGCUGGGAUGGGAGGGGCUCACCUAUGCAGCUGUGGCUGGCCAGUGUCCCUCUGAAUUGAGCGUGCCAACCCUUGAUCCUCCUGUCCUAGAGUGGCCAACUCUCCUCCUGAGUGAAGAGUCUGCUGCUAGUUGUGCUGUCAUUCUGUGCAGGAGACUGGAAAGCAUCUUCCUCACAGGUGGUAAAACAGGGCCUGAGCUGAGCAUGCCCAGUUCCUUCCUUCAACAUCCCAAUCAGAUCACUGGGUUUUCCCACUAGAGAGAGGAGGGAGGGGAAGAAACACUGCUCCAGAGGAUCCCACCCCUCCCAUCCAGGGCAGCUCUCCAGGAAAUUAUCAUUUCCCCUGAGAUGCUCAAGGCGUGCAUGGCCCUCACACCUUGGACUCAGCCAUUACAGGGUGGGCCAGGAGAGGGGCAGGCUGUGAGGAAGACGCUGCUACCACCUCCUGGAGGAGUCUCCUUCAGAAUCAACUGCUGCUCCCCUGAAUACAGCUCUGGCCGCAGAACAGGUGAAAUGGAUCAUGACAGUGUGGCAAUUCAGUAACUCCAAGGCCAUCUGGUUGAAAGGCUCAGAAUUAAUUUUCUAGUCACCUUUUCUUCCCUAAUCUGCCUUGCUAUAUUUCUCAUUUUGAUGAAACAAAGAUCCUUUGAGAAGCUUAAAGGACGCCUACUGAAUCACCAAUGAUCAAAAGCCAACACCAGAGCUGCCUGGAAUUGGACUAUGUACCCCUUCUCCCAAAAAUUCCUUUCAAAGAGCAAAGGGAGGCCAAUCUAAUCCUCGACUCUAUCUCUUCUCAAUCUCAUUUUUCCAGGCAUUGAACAGUGUUUGUUUGCAUUGCAGUUCUUUUUAAAAUUUCUACUAGAAUGAUACACUUUAAUCAGCUCUCCCUCUACUAUAAAAAAGAUUGAGCUGAAUUUCUUAAUUUUUAAAAUGUUUUUAAAAUUUCUUCUUUUUUUUUUCCUGCUCAGACAAAUAGUGUUAGCAAUCUUCAGAGGCAUUGAGCAGCUUCUUUGAUUUUAUGUUUUCUUUCUGAUCCACAUCAUUAGCUUCCUAAUAUAUUCUGUAGGCUUGAACUCGGUGUUAUUAUCUGAGAUGUGAAAUUAUCGAGGUCUGGGUCUUCAUAAACAAGCACUGUAGGAAAAGGGCACAGUGAGACUGGACAGGUGUGUGUGUGAUCUGGGAAUUACCAGUGUGGCUCCACUUGGAUUGUUCCAGAGUAGGCUGUUCCCAUCAGAGAAUGUUCCUCAGCAUUCUAUGUGCAAGGGACCCUUCAGCUGGCAUUGGCUCUGCUCAUGCAGGACAAAGAGACCCUCAGACACAGGGGUGGCAUCUCCCAGAUCAAAUGUUAAAAUGCCUGCUUUACCUGGAUUGGAGAUACUCUCUAAGUUUCUUGAAAUAUCCCCAAGGAAAUGUUAAUUCAAAAUUUAAAAUAAGAAAGUAAUGUUCAAAAUCACAGUAAAGAACCUUCUUUUAAAGUCAUUUGACUCAGGGGAGAGGAGACCUGUUACACUUGGGAUGUGAAGGAAUGAAGAGGAGGAGAAAGGUAGCAGGCUCAGCCCUUUCUAGCGCCUCCCACAGUCCCACAGGAUUCAAAUGCAGGAAUGAGUUGGUCCACCCUGUGAGUACUUAAAGUUUCUCUGAUAAUGAGCUCUGAGCCCACAGAUAAUUUGUAAGGAAUCCUUUCAACCAGUCCCAAAUUUAUUUCCUGCUCCAGAUUUCCUGCCUUGAUACUUUAUCAUUUUCAGUCUUUGUGAUACCCCAAGCUGAUUUAAUUCUGCAGUGAGGGAGGAUCAGGGAGACUUCACUUAGGACUGACAGGGCUGGAGGGCCAAGAGGAAGCACUAGGGUUUCUGCACCUGCACAGGGGAUUCUGCAGGGUUGAGGCUAAGCUGCUGGCACAGAGAUACACAGCUGUGUCCCUGGGCUCUGUGGGAUGGAUCUUCAAGGUAGAGAAGGAGGCCUUAGGCAUGGCAGCUGAGAAGCAAUCCUUGGGUAUUCCUCCAUCACCAAUAAGAGAUCAGCUACAGACAUCAGUUAGC
Non-coding RNA from Ictidomys tridecemlineatus (thirteen-lined ground squirrel), 5933 nucleotides. NCBI's taxonomy places the organism in Eukaryota, Metazoa, Chordata, Mammalia, Rodentia, Sciuridae. The record is from RefSeq and is a predicted model, not a curated record.